RNAcentral lists this ribosomal RNA (414 nucleotides) under uncultured bacterium. RNAcentral describes it as "bacterial SSU rRNA". It matches the Rfam family "Bacterial small subunit ribosomal RNA", at positions 355 to 786 of the family's 1533-position model. The record is from RNAcentral.
UGGGGAAUAUUGCACAAUGGGGAAACCCUGAUGCAGCAACGCCGCGUGAAGGAAGACGGUUUUCGGAUUGUAAACUUCUGUUCUUAGUGAAGAAUAAUGACGGUAGCUAAGGAGCAAGCCACGGCUAACUACGUGCCAGCAGCCGCGGUAAUACGUAGGUGGCAAGCGUUGUCCGGAAUUACUGGGUGUAAAGGGAGCGCAGGCGGAAGACCAAGUCAGCUGUGAAAACUACGGGCUUAACCUGUAGACUGCAGUUGAAACUGGUUUUCUUGAGUGAAGUAGGGGUUGGCGGAAUUCCGAGUGUAGCGGUGAAAUGCGUAGAUAUUCGGAGGAACACCGGUGGCGAAGGCGGCCAACUGGGCUUUAACUGACGCUGAGGCUCGAAAGUGUGGGGAGCAAACAGGAUUAGAUACC